Molecule: non-coding RNA, 56 nt
Organism: Dipodomys ordii (Ord's kangaroo rat)
Lineage: Eukaryota; Metazoa; Chordata; Mammalia; Rodentia; Heteromyidae
Source: Rfam
GGGAAGGUGGCUCAGUGGUAGAGCGCUUGCCUUGCAUGCAUGAGGCCCUGGGUUCG